Molecule: RNA transcript, 2872 nt
Organism: Cercocebus atys (sooty mangabey)
Lineage: Eukaryota; Metazoa; Chordata; Mammalia; Primates; Cercopithecidae
Gene name: 60S acidic ribosomal protein P0 pseudogene
Exons: 9
Source: RefSeq, a predicted model, not a curated record
CUGGUCUAGCCACACCUUUUCUCCCUCCUGCCUCAGUGGGCCCCUCCCCCAGCAUUUCCUGUGGCUGGUGCCAGCUUGUCUGCAGCUCAGACCAGCGUUUCAGUCCCUGUUGGAACCCACUGAACUGGCUUCACCUGCCUUUCAAGCCCCUGGACCUUCGAUGGCUCCCCGCGCCUGUGGAAAGGAGCAGCUCAGCCUGAGACAGAGUCUGCCCCAGUAUGACUUUUGACCUCCUCGUCUUGCCCAGUGCCCUGCCUUCAGCUAAAAACUGAGUUCCUCCCUAUGGGUUUCCACCUUUCAAAGCCUGUCUUCACUGUCACUUUGUCCAGGGAGCCAUCCCUGAUUCUCCCAGGUCUCUCAUCUGGGAACUGGGAUGAUAGCGCCAACCUAGCUGGAUUGCUGUGACCGCCAACACAAUGCCUUCUAAGGGUUCAAGGCCUCCCCAGCCACGUGGAACUCCGGCCCUUCAACAGAAUACCCAAACACACCAGCUUUCGAGCAUAUAAAAACCAGAGCUUUACACAUGCUUUGCAAUUGUGCCACUAUGAAGGUAUAUUUGUCAAGGCAGGACCCCCAUACCCUGGGAACACCACAAGCCGCUCCUGAAGGCAAACAGAAGACUCAGAGACAGAGCAGCAGAGCCUGAGCCAUAAGGUGGAGGGAAACAUGCCCCAGCCACCUCCUGUUCUCGACACUGCUGGCCCAGAUCCAGAGUGUUGGCCGUGACCCUUAUGAUGGGUGAGAAGAGGUAUCACACCUUUUCCAUCCCUACACCUGGAAGGAAGGUUCUGCAGAGAGUUCAUGAGAGACGAUAUCUGGAAUGUAAUCAGAGCAUACCUCUCACUAUUUAAGAGGAAAAAAUGAUCAACGAACCUUCAUUUAAGAAAAAGCACAGCGUUCUCAUGGGAACCAAGAAGACAAGGCCUUAAUGCAAAGUAUAUUCUGAGAGAAGAAAACAAGAAGAACAGAGACGAUUGGAUUACAGCAAUUGUUCUUAUAACUCCUCCCCGCCCACCCCCUCGAUGAGAAGCUGGUUUGAAGAACUGAGUAUCAAAUCCCUGCUGAGCUCUGAGGUUCCAGGCAGCAUAGAAAACAGCGCCUGCCUCUCUCCAGGCGUCCUCGUGGAAGUGACAUCGUCUUUAAACCCUGCGUGGCAAUCCCUGACACACCACCGUGAUGCCUAGGGAAGACAGGGCAACCUGGAAACCCAACCCCUUCCUUAAGAUCAUCCAACUAUUAGAUGAUUAUCCGAAAUGUUUCGUCGUGGGAGCAGACAAUGUGAGCUCCAAGCAGAUGCAGCAGAUCCGCAUGUCCCUCCGUGGGAAGGCUGUGGUGCUGAUGGGCAAGAACGCCAUGAUGUGCAAGGCCGUCCGAGGGCACCUGGAAAACAGCCCAGCUCUGGAGAAACUGCUGCCUCGUUUCCGGGGGAGUGUGGGCUUUGUGUUCACCGAGAAGGACCUCACUGAGAUCACGGACAUGCUACUGGCCAGUAAGGUGCCAGCUGUCACCCAUGCUGGUGCCAUUACCCCAUGUGAAGUCACUGUGCCAGCCCAGAAUACUGGUCUGGGGCCCGAGAAAACCUCCUUUUUCCAGGCUUUAGGUAUCACCACUAAAAUCUCCAGGGGCACCAUUGAAAUCCUGAGUGAUGUGCAGCUGAUCAAGACGGGAGACAAAGUGGGAGCCAGUGAAGCUAAGCUGCUGACCAUGCUCAACAUCUCCCCCUUCUCCUUCGGGCUGGUCUCCAGCAGGUGUUUGACAAUGGCGGUAUCUGCAACCCUGAAGUGCUUGACAUCACAGAGGAAACCACAUUCUCGCUUCCUGGAGUGUGUCCGCAAUAUUGCCAGUGUUUGUCUGCAGAUCAGGUACCCAACUGUUGCAUCAGUGCCCCAUUCUAUCAUCAACGGGUACAAAGGAGUCCUGGCCUUGUCUGUGGAGACUGAUGACACCUUCCUGCUUGCUGAAAAGGUCAAGGCAUUCUUGGCUGAUCCAUCUGCCUUUGUGGCUGCUCUCCCUGUGGCCGCUGCCACCACGGCUGCUCCUGCUGCUGCUGCUGCUGCAGCCUCAGCUAAGGUUGAAGCCAAGGAAGAGUCGGAGGAGUUGGAUGAGGAUACGGGAUUUGGUCUCUUCGACUAAUCACCAAAAAGCAACCAACUUAGCCAGCUUUAUUUGCAAAACAAGGAAAUAAAGGCUUAUUAAAAAAAAAAAAAAGAAAGAAAGAAAGAAAGAAAAAAAAAGAAAAUAAAACAACACCUGCUUCCACGGUUGUGGCAGUGGGGUUUAAAGAAAAGGAGCAGGCAGAAAGAGCACACAGUAGUGAAGCACACCCCCAGCCUCUUAAAGGCCACGACAGCCUCAGAGCAGGCAGGAGGAGCACACAGCAGGUGUUUAGCCAGCGUGAAGCCCCCAGCCCCUGACAGGCCACGACAGCCUCAGAGCAGGCAGAAGGAGCACACAGUAGGUAUUCAGCCCUCAUGAAGCAGGCCCCCAGCCCCUGACAGGCUAUGACAGCCUGAGGCAGGACCUCAUGGUGAUCUGUAACCUGACCCCAGAGGAGGACAGCAGGGAGGGCGAGUGGCACCCCGGGAGGCCAGAGCCUGGCGUCCCACCCUGUUACCCUCGUGCUCAGUGUCCAGGGGCUGCGGGUUAGCCAUGGCCUGUACCGAGCCUUAUGAGAGACCCUCCAGCCAUUCGGUGGAGCGUGGAGACCCCUCGUGGCCACACGGAGGACUGCAGCUGCAGCGCCUGACCUCUCGCCAGCAGCGGAGCUGCUCUACAGCCCUGGCAGAGCUCCGCAAACAUUGCUUGAGCUCCUUUUUAUUUUAUUUUUAUUUUUUGAGACAAGAUCUCACUCUCGCCCAGGCUGGAAUGCAGU